GGGCGACAGGCAGCGCGAGGCGGGCGGACAGCGGCACGCGCCGACCCGCGCACGCCCCAGCCCCCGCCCCCGCGCGGCGCGAGGGGAAGGCGGAGGCGGCGCCGCGGCCGCCCAGGGCAGCGCCCCGCCGCGGGAGUGGCGGCCGGCGCGGCGCGGCGCACCUGCGAGCCGCGGGGCGACGAGGGGGGCGGGAGACGAGGAGGCGACCGGAGACGCGGAGUGAGCCGGCGGCCGCGCAGCCCGCCCCGGCGUGCCCAGGCGCCGCGGCCCCGAGGCGAUGGAGCAGGAGAAGUACCUGCCCGAGCUGAUGGCAGAGAAGGACAGCCUGGAUCCCUCCUUUGUUCACGCGAUGCGCCUCCUGGCCGACGAAAUUGAAAAAUUUCAGGGUUCUGAAGGCAAGAAGGAAGAUGAAGAAAAGAAAUAUCUUGAUGUUAUCAGCAACAAAAACAUAAAGCUGUCAGAAAGAGUUCUGAUCCCCGUCAAACAAUAUCCAAAGUUCAAUUUUGUUGGGAAAUUGCUUGGACCAAGAGGAAACUCCUUGAAGAGGUUACAAGAAGAAACAGGUGCAAAAAUGUCGAUCCUGGGGAAAGGAUCCAUGAGGGAUAAAGCUAAGGAGGAAGAACUAAGGAAAAGUGGAGAAGCCAAGUAUGCGCACUUGAGUGAUGAGCUUCACGUAUUAAUUGAAGUCUUUGCUCCACCUGGGGAGGCGUAUUCUCGUAUGAGUCAUGCCUUGGAAGAAAUAAAAAAAUUCCUCGUUCCCGAUUACAAUGAUGAAAUUCGUCAGGAGCAGCUGAGAGAACUGUCGUAUUUGAACGGUUCUGAGGAUUCAGCACGUGGACGGGGCAUUCGAGGAAGAGGCAUCCGUGUGCCACCUGCAGCUCCUUCAAGGGGACGUGGGGGUGCGAUUCCUCCACCCCCGCCUGGACGAGGUGCCCAAGCACCCAGAGGAGCGCCGGUGACCCGUGGAGCCCUCCCUGUCCCACCAGUGGCGAGGGGCGUUCCCACCCCUCGAGCAAGGGGCGCCCCGGCGGUCCCGGGCUACAGACCACCCCCGCCACCUGCACACGAGGCCUAUGAAGAAUAUGGAUAUGAUGAUGGAUAUGGAGGUGAAUAUGAUGAUCCAAGCUAUGAGGCAUAUGAUAACAGUUAUGCCACCCAAACACAAAGGGGAAUAGGGUCACUUGCAGAAGACACCAUGACAAAGUCUCGGGAUCAGACUGGAAUGAAACCCACAAUAAGUCUCCAUGGCUGAAUGAACGAAGAGGCACCUCAAGAGCACUUUGAAAUGGGCACAAUAGUCAACUUGAAGAAAGAACAGCAGGACCCUCACUAUGGAGGAACUUUUAAGUCUGUUGAACCACCACCACUGUCCAGGAUUCAUGGGCUGAAAACUCUAGAGCACCAGGAGAAAAGGAUUAGAAAGUCUGCCUCUCUGGUUACUCAGAAGUCGUGAGGGAAUCAGACUGUACUGCAUGCAAAGUGUUGCCAAACUCCUCAGCCAAGACCAACAGAAUAACUUCGUGGAAGUGGAUUAGUUGCUGAUGAAUCAGAUGAGAACCCUGGUGGCCAGCGGAGCCAUCUUCAGCUCUGCUACCACAUCUCUAGUCAUCUCCACUGACCUUUGUGUCUCUGCCAGCACCAGCAGUUUCAUUUCGUGUCUCACAGUCAGAUACUAAAAAUCUGGGACGGACUGGCCGGUCAUAGGACAAACCAGGAAGGGUAUGGUCUAUUUAAUCCACUUGUGCAUGACCUAUCCAACCAUAUCCAAUGUAAACAAUGGUGCCUGACAGGGAGAAGCAAAGGAAGUCAGUGAUUGUCCAUCGAAGCUUAAAAUUUGGGUUUGAUAUAAUUUCCCUGUUCCACAGUGCCUGGCACGAACACUCCCACAUCAAUCAGUUCUGGGUUUUGUGAACAUGUAGUUGGUAUAUUGGCAAUGGCUUCCAGGGCUGGUUCGUUGACUUGUUCUUCUGUCUUUUCUUCUGUCUGGCUUUUGUUAAAAAUAUAGUUCAGCUGCAAAAUGAAUUGCUGAGUGGGUGCUUACUAAAGAAAGAAGAGUCUGUGACUCCCAUCCUAGGCUGCAAAUAUCAGAAAAUCUGUAACAUACUGACAGGAAUAAUAAAUAAUUCAGUGAUAAAAGAUAGAUGGAAAUAGUGCAAAACAUUACUGUUACAGAUGUCAUCCCAUAGUGACACAGGCCUUCUCACAACAUAUCUUCAUCUAUGCUGUGACUGCAAGAUGACAUAGGUAAAGCACAUUUCUCUUGCCUGCCUGGACCCGGCCUCGCUAAUGACAGUAACCCAAUUUUAGGGCCUUGAAGCAAUUCUUGGCAAAAUAUUUACUGUUAAUCUUGCAAAUAUUUUAUGUAAUGCUAUAGGCAAGAGUCCUCUGGACACACAUUCCAUGAUAGUAUGCAGAUAAUUUUGGGACAAUGACUUCUUUUUAGUCUGUCAAACACACACUGCAAACCCAUCCUGCAUCUGCUAAGCAAACAACCCAACUUCUGUUUCUGAUGCAGAAAUGCAUGUUACAGGUCAUGUCAUCCUGAACUUCCUCACUAAGAAGUUAAUGGUAAUACAGAACCUAAAUCUUAACAUAAAGAAAGAUGGCAUAAUAUGUCUGAAAUAAAUUCUAAGUUUUUACAGGAUCUGAAGACUUACACACAUUGAGUUAGAUAACUGCCGGAAUGAAAUUAGCUUAGAGGACUGAAGAAGAGAGAAAGGAAAGGUGCAGUAUCAGAGAAUUUCAAGCAUAGCUUUCAUCUAACUGAAUUAUAUUUAACUGAAAAGAUAUAAUUAUCUGUGGUUCAUACCAAUAGCUGUGCUGUUGUGUACAAAGUCCCAUGGGGCUCCUGUUUCUCAAUGCUAGUAACAAAAAUAUAAUGAGAAAAACAUGUUUCAGGGCAUAUAUGCUGCCUAUGUCCACUUUCCUGCUAUGGCAGCUAGUCGCUGUGGCCAUAUCAAUGUAGUAGUAUCCCAGUAUCUAUAUGUUCAUAGCCAUACCUAUCAAUUCAACCUGUAAUAGGCUGUGCAACUCUGAUUCAUGUUCUUAUAACAACUCAGACCCACUGAAAAUUUCAAGAGCACAUUCAGCCAUUGAGAUUCAAUAUAUGGCAAGUUACUGACUUUGAAAAGAAACUUUGGUUUUUUUGUUAUUCUUGUUCCUAUCGUUAAGUUCUUGCUUUCUACUGUACAGUUCUUUUUUCUGUAGUGCAGGCUGCUAAGACAGGAGAUUUAGGGAUCACUCACUUAUUUCUGAUAUGCAGAAAUAUAACAUGGACCACAGUUCAGCCCAUGUCACUUAUUUGGCUUAAGGUACAAUCACUUCAGUGCAGAGACAUGCUGCAAAAUUAUAUAGAAAGUAAAACAAAGAAUAUUUUAUCCAGUUGAAUCUCCAGGAAUUAUUUACAUCAGCAGUGUAUAUUUGCUUAACCUCCAGUUCAUCCUGGUUACCCUUGCUUGACCUCCAGAUAUCAAGACUUUGUAUGUACAUCUAAUUCCAAAGAUGAGUUCUUCACGGAGUGCUGCAAGUAGAAUAACAUUUUCAGACUACUACACUUGUAAAGACAGCAGUACAUAGUUCUGCUGGGCGUACAUGUUCUUUGAUGAACUCUAUCCAACGGACUAGUCUUCUCUCCAAACUCCUUUUGGAUUCAGCUUAAAAUAAUGGCCCUAUGUUUCAGUAACAAAAAUGUAGUAUAAACAUGGGGAGGGAAGGGGUGAAGAAUAGUAAAACAGAACUAGAGUGCUUAGUAAUGUCCAUCACCAUAGCUUUUAAAAACUCAUUAGACAAAUUGCAGUAAAGAAUCAUGUAAAUAAAUGUGUGCACACAGGUAGAUGAAAUGAUCUAGGUAGACCUUAUGGUCCAUACUAGCUCUAUUUUCUGUUACCUUUUCCCCUUUUUGUUCACGCAUGACUAGGUUUACUUCAAGAUAACAGCAAAGGAUAAUCUAAUUGGACUAAGGAAGAUGUUUUGUUGCAAAUAAAAAGAAAUCAACCCAAUUUUCAAACUCCAUUUUGAUUUCUGGGGUUUUUAUGACUGAUAGAAAUCCUUUUAGGAACAAUUAAAAUAAAUCGGAUGUUUCAAGCACUAAAAAAGUAAAUGUAUUGAAUUUAUUUUUAAUAGAGUGGGAUACUGACUUUCGUAUGUUUUCCAUGUUGUAUUAAAUUGCAGUAAAUAAUUCUAGUCCAUUCCUUUAGGAUAAACUGAUAAUAAAGAUAUCAGAUCUUAUUUUUUCACAGGUAGCAUUUUCACCUAUAUACAAAAAUGUACACAAGUGGAAACUAUAAUACAUCUCAUAAUAAAGUACAAUGCAGCACUGGGUGAAC
Molecule: RNA transcript, 4325 nt
Organism: Grus americana (Whooping crane)
Lineage: Eukaryota; Metazoa; Chordata; Aves; Gruiformes; Gruidae
Gene: KHDRBS2
Gene name: KH RNA binding domain containing, signal transduction associated 2
Exons: 9
Source: RefSeq, a predicted model, not a curated record